GUAGAGUUGCAGUGUAGUAACAGGAAACUAAGGAAGAUGUUAAGGAGACAGGCUGCCAAGGAGGCUUGAAAAGGCAGGGGAGAUGAUGCAGUCAGAUUCCAGGGGGUUGUUCCUGCCUCUGUGAUGAACCAAAGGAACAGCAACACACAGUGAAGUCUUAUUUUUAUUCUGUGCUGUAGCAGUUCAUCAUCCAUUGAUGGCCGUCGCUGGUGAAGCAUCUCAGACUCCCUUGUAACAUCCAGGAGGAAUAUAAAAACAUUCUUGCUCCCUCUUGCUUACUCAUCCCAGCAACCUUGGGGUUAUUAAUUGUGAAGAAAAAGAAGGGCCGGAACUCAACAUGAAUGCCUCCCUUGGUCUCUUUUAAUGGCAAUGGUGCCUACCUGAGAGGUGCCAGAACUAAAUUCUGGAAAUAAACUGCCACAGGGGCCGGAUUAAACCGAAUGGUGGGCCAGAUGAGGCCCCUGGACCACACUUUAGACAUGCCUGACUUAAGGACUCCUAUAAAUCCAGAUGGCUCCAACUCAUACACAGCGAAAUGAGAUCUAUUGGUAAUGACUUGGAAUCUAUAUAAAUAAAAAUGUAAAUGUCUGUUUGUACAAAGUCUAUGCGCUCCAAAAGUUCUUGACCGAUUGCUUUGAAAUUUUGACAUAAUGUUGCAUACGAAUAGGGGAGUGUUUCUGUAUAAUUAGAUUAUAUAGAUGUCACACCUGUGGCAGGUAAACCCCUGUUUUUUGCAAACAGAGCACCAUCUGUUGGGCGUCGAGAUUAUAUAGAUGUCACACCUGUGGCAGGUAAACCCCUGUUUUUUGCAAACAGAGCACCAUCUGUUGGGCGUCGAGAUUAUAUAGAUGUCACACCUGUGGCAGGUAAACCCCUGUUUUUUGCAAACAGAGCACCAUCUGUUGGGCGUCAAAGUAACACAUGCUAUACUAAAUGCAUCAGUGAGGAAAUGCAUCAGUGAGCAGAGGCUGCUGGGAGCGGCUGCCCAGGCGGCUCCUUCUCCAAGGGCGGCGGCCGGAUCUUGCCCCUUCGCCCGGCGGGCCCCAGCAGGAGCA
This is a non-coding RNA of Zootoca vivipara (common lizard), 1055 nucleotides long. The record is from RefSeq and is a predicted model, not a curated record. Lineage: Eukaryota; Metazoa; Chordata; Lepidosauria; Squamata; Lacertidae.